AGAGCGAACGCUGGCGGCAGGCCUAACACAUGCAAGUCGAGCGCGUGUAGCAAUACACGAGCGGCAGACGGGAGAGUAACACGUGGGAACGCGCCCUUCGGUUCGGAAUAACUCAGGGAAACUUGAGCUAAUACCGGAUACGCCCUUACGGGGAAAGAUUUAUUGCCGAAGGAACGGCCCGCGUCCGAUUAGCUAGUUGGUGAGGUAACGGCUCACCAAGGCGACGAUCGGUAGCUGGUCUGAGAGGAUGACCAGCCUCACUGGGACUGAGACACGGCCCAGACUCCUACGGGAGGCAGCAGUGGGAAUAUGGACAAUGGGCGCAAGCCUGAUCCAGCCAUGCCGCGUGGAUGAUGAAGGCCUUAGGGUUGUAAAGUCCGUUUUAACGGGGAAGAUAAUGACGGUACCCGUAGAAUAAGCCCGGCUAACUUCGUGCCAGCAGCCGC
RNAcentral lists this ribosomal RNA (446 nucleotides) under uncultured bacterium. Its description in RNAcentral is "SSU rRNA". It matches the Rfam family "Bacterial small subunit ribosomal RNA", at positions 26 to 518 of the family's 1533-position model. The record is from RNAcentral.